Long non-coding RNA from Gadus chalcogrammus (walleye pollock), 1219 nucleotides. RefSeq lists it as uncharacterized. NCBI's taxonomy places the organism in Eukaryota, Metazoa, Chordata, Actinopteri, Gadiformes, Gadidae. The record is from RefSeq and is a predicted model, not a curated record. The transcript has 6 exons.
UUUUCUCAGAAAACCCUCAGGAAAUGAGGUUCUUUUUCCUAGAAUAGCAUAGGAUUUUAGCAGGCGUUUUUAGCAGGCGUUUUAGGCAUAAAUGGGCUAGUAAUGACACUGUCAUCCUCGAAAUCUUGUCCUGCGCCUCAGAUGACACAGUCAUACUGGAGGAGAGUGGCAGUCCAUCCAGAAAGCGACAGAGGGAAGAUGGAGAGGCCAAACAUGUGGUUGAAUUGGUGCUAACAAGGAAACCUGGGGGCGACCGUAUCAUCAAAGAGUACCACCGCACUAAAAGUCUGACCGACUCCUCACGCCGACAAAUGGUCAACACAUACUUGUGGCUGAUAUGACAGAAACGCAUGGGUAAUUUGGUUGUCUCUGAUUCUGUGUUUGUGCUAAAAACAUUUAUUACCGUAUGUUGUUCUUGCUAUUAGCUUUGUGCGAAAUCAUUGGAAGUAUGUCAUUUAACAGAAAUGAGUUUACUCUGAGUUUACGCUCGAGGCAUAGUUCAGCUCUUCCCGUACUUGAUGGAUCCCUACUCUAAAAAUGGAUAUGAACAUUACUAUGAUGGUGAAAGUGGCAGUGGCUAUCUGGCAUGGCGGCUUAAAACUGUGCAGAGGAGAAGUGCUUCAUCAGAGAGCAGAGGGUCAUCACGUCAGCUGAAUGGAGGACCAGUAGCCAGAAGAGAAGCUUCCUUUAGUCCUGAGAUGACCUUAAGUGAAGAGCAAUGCCAGGAGGCCAUGGCCUUAAUGAGAUACUGUACUGACGAGGCUACUAUCAAGCAGAAGAUGAUGAUGACAUUUAAACAUCGUCGCAGUAUGGUCCUCGAUGGAGAGAAAUCCUCAGAUGUCUUGACUGAAUUUCCCCGCUUCAAAGAUUUCAAAGGCCUGAUUGAGCAAGACUUCGUCCUGCAGUUUGGAGAAGGUGUAGCUGCAAGAUUUAUGGAAAGGUGGCCGACAACAUUCAAGCAAAAGGUCAUUCAUCAGUUAAAGGCUCUCCCUUCUACAAGUGACCUUGAAGAGCUUAUCCAUUGUGCUGAAGCUACACCGGAUGAAGAGGACAUUGAUGACACUCUUGCCCUUGGCUGGGACAGCGAUCUUGCAUCCAUUAUCCUCCUCCUCCACCUGAUACCUCCUUCAGCCCAAGGCCGGAGAAGACCAGGCAAGGUUUCCGCAGCCCAAGCUGAGAAACAGCUUGUCGUGUUCAAGAAGUGUUUGUGUUAAUUGCU